GCUUAGUAAAGAAGUCGAUGCUUGUGUCACGGGUCUCCUCAAGGAACUGGUGCGCUUCCAAGACCGGAUGUACCAGAAGGAUCCUGUCAAGGCCAAGACAAAACGCCGGCUUGUGCUGGGGCUGAGGGAGGUCCUGAAACACCUGAAGCUCAGGAAGCUGAAGUGUAUCAUCAUCUCUCCCAACUGUGAGAAGACACAGUCUAAAGGUGACAGCCCUGCAGCACACCACAGCACACAGGCUAUUGUGCCAGUGCCCAGUAUUCUGCCUCACAGUCAGCCAUGCACAUGGUCAGCAGGCACGUUGGCAGCUUGCUUUCGGUUCUAACAGAAUUCAGUUUCUAAUGUGCUAUCAACUGAGCCCUACCUAACACUAACUCUAGCCCUCCUGACCAAGGGUGGGACGAGCCUGCUGUGCAGGUUGUAGCUCCAGAGCCAGUGAGGUUGCUCAAGCCCUUGCAGGGGCUUUAGUCCUGUGGGCAAACUUGUUCAGUCUGGUCAGCUCCUCUGCUCACUCACUGCUAAUGUGGGUUUGUCAGUACUCUACAGUUGGUCUGGCUUGGUAGAAGGCUGUUUGAGGUAAUAGUGAACUUGUCUGCCCU
Molecule: long non-coding RNA, 599 nt
Filed under: Rattus norvegicus (Norway rat)
Lineage: Eukaryota; Metazoa; Chordata; Mammalia; Rodentia; Muridae
Description: long non-coding RNA NONRATT012821
Source: RNAcentral